UCUCUGGAGGCCUUACCUAGGCA
This 23-nucleotide non-coding RNA is filed under the name Arabidopsis thaliana (thale cress). Lineage: Eukaryota; Viridiplantae; Streptophyta; Magnoliopsida; Brassicales; Brassicaceae. The record is from RNAcentral.